GCUGUCGAGUGCAACGAGGCUGCGAUCUUUUGAUCGUUCACUCGUGACUCAACCGUCAGUGGAAAGAUCGCAGCCUCGUUGCACUCGACAGC
This 92-nucleotide unclassified non-coding RNA is filed under the name Pseudomonas thivervalensis. The record is from RNAcentral. Lineage: Bacteria; Pseudomonadati; Pseudomonadota; Gammaproteobacteria; Pseudomonadales; Pseudomonadaceae.